UGUUGUCUAUUGAUGGUUUUUCUAGCCAAUUAGGCUGUUGUGUCACUCCAUUAGCGGGCACCUGACCACCGCGCUAACACUCUGAUCCGCCCCCUAGGGCUUCACCGGGGGUUCUCAUUACGGCGAUCAGCUGAGUGACAGUCGGUUAGUGCCCCUCCAAGGAACCCACGCGACACCUUUCAUGACCUCGAGCAGAACGGGUAAAGCAGACACGGCCGUAGGUCAGAGCUACGGAAGACAGCCCGUUGGGUCCGGCUGUCAGUCAAGCCUGCGAUCCAGUGUUGGAACGCAUCCUACGGGCGUGAAGUCGCCGGCUCCAUUCCCCUCAUUCACAGCCGCCAAUCAGAGACGGCGCUCGCUUCCAGAGC
Gadus morhua (Atlantic cod) is the source of this 368-nucleotide long non-coding RNA. RefSeq lists it as uncharacterized. The record is from RefSeq and is a predicted model, not a curated record. The transcript has 3 exons. Lineage: Eukaryota; Metazoa; Chordata; Actinopteri; Gadiformes; Gadidae.